UGUUAAAAAUUUCAUCUAUUUGUACUGUUAAAAACUGACGUAAUUUACGGAAUAACCAAAUAAUGACAUGUGAUGUGAUGUGCCACGUGUACCUAAUGACAGUAGAAAUGGAUUAAUUUUAAACA
Molecule: non-coding RNA, 125 nt
Organism: Gossypium raimondii (Peruvian cotton)
Lineage: Eukaryota; Viridiplantae; Streptophyta; Magnoliopsida; Malvales; Malvaceae
Source: Rfam